RNAcentral lists this ribosomal RNA (504 nucleotides) under uncultured bacterium. RNAcentral describes it as "partial 16S ribosomal RNA". It matches the Rfam family "Bacterial small subunit ribosomal RNA", at positions 28 to 507 of the family's 1533-position model. The record is from RNAcentral.
GACGAACGCUGGCGGCGUGCUUAACACAUGCAAGUCGAACGGUGAAGCGCUUGCCUUUUUGGUGGGUGUGGAUGAGUGGCGAACGGGCGAGUAACACGUGAGUAACCUGCCCUCUUCUUCUGGAUAACCUCAUGAAAGUGGGGCUAAUACGGGGUAUUCCGGGUCUGUCGCAUGGCGGGUUUGGGAAAGAUUGCGCCUUUGGGUGUUUUCGGUGGGGGAUGGGCUCGCGGCCUAUCAGCUUGUUGGUGGGGUGAUGGCCUACCAAGGCGGUGACGGGUAGCCGGCAUGAGAGGGUGGACGGCCACACUGGGACUGGGACACGGCGCAGACGCCUGCGGGAGGCAGCAGUGGGGAAUAGUGCACAAUGGGCGCAAGCCUGAUGCAGCGACGCCGCGUGAGGGAUGGAGGCCUUCGGGUUGUGAACCUCUUUCGCCAGUGAAGCAGGCCUGCUCCUGUGUGGGUGGGUUGACGGUAGCUGGAUAAGAAGCGCCGGCUAACUACGUG